GAUGAACGCUGGCGGCGUGCCUAAUACAUGCAAGUCGAGCGAACGGACGAGAAGCUUGCUUCUCUGCUGUUAGCGGCGGACGGGUGAGUAACACGUGGAUAACCUACCUAUAAGACUGGGAUAACUUCGGGAAACCGGAGCUAAUACCGGAUAAUAUUUUGAACCGCAUGGUUCAAAAGUGAAAGACGGUCUUGUUGUAACUUAUAGAUGGAUCCGCGCUGCAUUAGCUAGUUGGUAAGGUAACGGCUUACCAAGGCAACGAUGCAUAGCCGACCUGAGAGGGUGAUCGGCCACACUGGAACUGAGACACGGUCCAGACUCCUACGGGAGGCAGCAGUAGGGAAUCUUCCGCAAUGGGCGAAAGCCUGACGGAGCAACGCCGCGUGAGUGAUGAAGGUCUUCGGAUCGUAAAACUCUGUUAUUAGGGAAGAACAUAUGUGUAAGUAACUGUGCACAUCUUGACGGUACCUAAUCGGAAAGCCACGGCUAACUACGUG
Molecule: ribosomal RNA, 497 nt
Filed under: uncultured bacterium
Lineage: Bacteria
Description: partial 16S ribosomal RNA
Rfam family: Bacterial small subunit ribosomal RNA
Source: RNAcentral